This 460-nucleotide ribosomal RNA is filed under the name uncultured bacterium. RNAcentral describes it as "partial 16S ribosomal RNA". It matches the Rfam family "Bacterial small subunit ribosomal RNA", at positions 338 to 795 of the family's 1533-position model. The record is from RNAcentral.
CCUACGGGCGGCAGCAGUGAGGAAUAUUGGUCAAUGGGCGCGAGCCUGAACCAGCCAAGUCGCGUGAGGGAUGACGGCCCUACGGAUUGUAAACUUCUUUUGUCGGGGAGUAAAAUACGCCACGUGUGCCUUUUUGAGUGUACUUUAUGAAUAAGGAUCGGCUAACUCCGUGCCAGCAGCCGCGGUAAUACGGAGGAUCCGAGCGUUAUCCGGAUUUAUUGGGUUUAAAGGGAGCGUAGGCGGGAUGUUAAGUGAGCUGUGAAAUGUUGGGGCUCAACCCGGGCCUUGCAGCGCGUACUGGCAGGCUUGAGUCCGGGGGAGGCAGGCGGAAUUCGUGGUGUAGCGGUGAAAUGCUUAGAUAUGACGAAGAACCCCGAUUGCGAAGGCAGCUUGCUACAGCGGAACUGACACUGAUGCUCGAAAGCGCGGGUAUCAAACAGGAUUAGAUACCCCUGUAGUC